GUGAGUGUUGGCUUGCGGUAGUGUUGCGCCGGAGCCCUACCCUGCCGUGCCCUGCCUCGCCGUGCCCUGUCUGGCCUUCCCUUGCCGAUAGAAAAAAAGGGAAGGAAAAAUAAAAGAGAGUGAAAAAAUAAGAACCAAAGAAGGGGAGAGAAAAAAACCCCCGACUCCGAAUUGAAAAAAACCCCACCAACGAGAGAAAGAAAGAAAAAAAGAAAGAAAACAACCCGAGGAAAAAGUAAAAAAAAAACACGAAAA
Eriocheir sinensis (Chinese mitten crab) is the source of this 255-nucleotide long non-coding RNA. RefSeq lists it as uncharacterized. Lineage: Eukaryota; Metazoa; Arthropoda; Malacostraca; Decapoda; Varunidae. The transcript is spliced from 2 exons. The record is from RefSeq and is a predicted model, not a curated record.